Molecule: ribosomal RNA, 585 nt
Filed under: uncultured bacterium
Lineage: Bacteria
Description: partial 16S ribosomal RNA
Rfam family: Bacterial small subunit ribosomal RNA
Source: RNAcentral
UGGGGAAUUUUGGACAAUGGGCGAAAGCCUGAUCCAGCAAUGCCGCGUGUGUGAAGAAGGCCUUCGGGUUGUAAAGCACUUUUGUCCGGAAAGAAAUCCUUGGCUCUAAUACAGUCGGGGGAUGACGGUACCGGAAGAAUAAGCACCGGCUAACUACGUGCCAGCAGCAGCGGUAAUACGUAGGGUGCAAGCGUUAAUCGGAAUUACUGGGCGUAAAGCGUGCGCAGGCGGUUUGCUAAGACCGAUGUGAAAUCCCCGGGCUCAACCUGGGAACUGCAUUGGUGACUGGCAGGCUAGAGUAUGGCAGAGGGGGGUAGAAUUCCACGUGUAGCAGUGAAAUGCGUAGAGAUGUGGAGGAAUACCGAUGGCGAAGGCAGCCCCCUGGGCCAAUACUGACGCUCAUGCACGAAAGCGUGGGGAGCAAACAGGAUUAGAUACCCUGGUAGUCCACGCCCUAAACGAUGUCAACUAGUUGUUGGGGAUUCAUUUCCUUAGUAACGUAGCUAACGCGUGAAGUUGACCGCCUGGGGAGUACGGUCGCAAGAUUAAAACUCAAAGGAAUUGACGGGGUCAUAGCUGUUUCCU